GACGAACGCUGGCGGCGUGCUUAACGCAUGCAAGUGGAGCGACGAACCAGGGCUUGCCCUGGGGCAGAGCCGCGAACGGGUGAGUAACACGUGGGUAACGUGCCCCGAUGACUGGGACAACCCGGGGAAACCCGGGCUAAUACCGGAUGUGCCCCCUCACAUCAGUGAGGUGUGUAAAGGAAGCUUCGGCCUCCGCAUCGGGAUCGGCCCGCGGCCCAUUAGCUUGUUGGUGAGGUAACGGCUCACCAAGGCUGCGAUGGGUUGCUGGUCUGAGAGGACGAUCAGCCACACUGGGACUGAGACACGGCCCAGACUCCUACGGGAGGCAGCAGUGGGGAAUCUUGCGCAAUGCGCGAAAGCGUGACGCAGCAACGCCGCGUGGGGGAAGACGGCCUUCGGGUUGUAAACCCCUUUCAGUUGGGACGAAGGUCGGGCGGUUAACAGCCGUUCCGGCUGACGGUACCUUCACAAGAAGCCCCGGCUAACUACGUG
RNAcentral lists this ribosomal RNA (492 nucleotides) under uncultured bacterium. RNAcentral describes it as "partial 16S ribosomal RNA". It matches the Rfam family "Bacterial small subunit ribosomal RNA", at positions 28 to 507 of the family's 1533-position model. The record is from RNAcentral.